UGGACCGCAGUGUAGAACUGUGUUUGGACAGAAAAGGUGUAAUCUUAUGGAAAUAGACCGAGUGGGGAAUCCCAGCAAGGCCUGUCUGUUAAGGCUCUUCCUGGCCUCUCUGUGCAGCUGUCUUCCUUCCAGACUAGAAAAGAGCUUCAACAGUGGUUUAAAAGAAAACAGAAGAAAGUAUCACCAUCAAGUCAUCUGAGAAUGACUUUACAGCUCGAAGAAAGCCUUAAAAAGCAACAAGGCAGCCACAAGCCACAAAACCAACAAGCUGCAACCACAUUUGUAAUGAUCACAAUGGAAACCAGCAGCCUGUCAGCCAGUGGAAAGGUAGAAUGUUACUGGGGCUCCUUCAAAGCCCCAUCCCCAGGGAAUGGUCAUUAUUUAACCUGUCUCAUAGGUCCCUGGAAGACCCCAAUUGCAAGGUUGUCAUUGUUUGACUUGAGUUGGAGCUCAUGCAGUGAAAAGAGCCUUUUCUCUAUGGGGGUUUAUUAAAAACAAUUAGAGGCAAUUGUUUAACAUCAUGGCUGCCGGAUGCAAUCACCUUUGUAAAGAUUAUGACAGCAAAAGAAGUCUAGCAUAGCUGACUCCAUCUUGUUUCAAGCCUCACAGGCUGGCUGUCCUCACUUAUUCCUGGGUGUAGGUCAAGCUAACCAUGGGAGACAUUUAGUUUAUAGUUUAGCUUUGCAUCAAGGAUGAUAAUAGUACCUCCCUAAAACUGACCUCCUCCUUAAAACUGAAACCACCUUUUUAAGACUAAUGAAAGGCCACAAGAUUAGGAUUAUGGUGAGGGGCAGAGCUGAUUUCUGCUAAAAUGUAGGUACAGUUAAAUGAUAACCAGCCAUUUGUUCCCGAGCUUGCUUUUCUAUAAUGCAUUACUGCUCAAGAGUCAUGUGGCCAGAUGUCACAAGAUUUGUAGCUUCUACUUGGCCAG
This is a long non-coding RNA of Gorilla gorilla gorilla (western lowland gorilla), 931 nucleotides long. RefSeq lists it as uncharacterized. The record is from RefSeq and is a predicted model, not a curated record. NCBI's taxonomy places the organism in Eukaryota, Metazoa, Chordata, Mammalia, Primates, Hominidae. The transcript has 3 exons.